AGAGUUUGAUCCUGGCUCAGAUUGAACGCUGGCGGCAUGCUUUACACAUGCAAGUCGAACGGUAACGCGGGGGCAACCCUGGCGACGAGUGGCGAACGGGUGAGUAAUACAUCGGAACAUAUCCAGUAGCGGGGGAUAACCUAUCGAAAGAUGGACUAAUACCGCAUACGAUCUACGGAUGAAAGCAGGGGACCGCAAGGCCUUGCACUAUUGGAGUGGCCGAUGUCGGAUUAGCUAGUUGGUGAGGUAAAGGCUUACCAAGGCGACGAUCCGUAGCUGGUCUGAGAGGACGAUCAGCCACACUGGAACUGAGACACGGUCCAGACUCCUACGGGAGGCAGCAGUGGGGAAUUUUGGACAAUGGGCGCAAGCCUGAUCCAGCCAUGCCGCGUGAGUGAAGAAGGCCUUCGGGUUGUAAAGCUCUUUCGGUGAAGACGAAACGGUUAGUGUUAAUAACACUGACUAAUGACGGUACUCACAGAAGAAGCACCGGCUAACUACGUGCCAGCAGCCGCGGUAAUACGUAGGGUGCAGGCGUUAAUCGGAAUUACUGGGCGUAAAGCGUGCGCAGGCGGUUUGCUAAGACAGGUGUGAAAUCCCCGGGCUUAACCUGGGAAUUGCGCUUGUAACUGGCAAGCUAGAGUGUGGCAGAGGGGGGUAGAAUUCCACGUGUAGCAGUGAAAUGCGUAGAUAUGUGGAGGAAUACCGAUGGCGAAGGCAGCCCCCUGGGUUAACACUGACGCUCAUGCACGAAAGCGUGGGGAGCAAACAGGAUUAGAUACCCUGGUAGUCCACGCCCUAAACUAUGUCAACUAGUUGUCGGGGAAGAAAUUCCUUGGUAACGAAGCUAACGCGUGAAGUUG
Molecule: ribosomal RNA, 863 nt
Filed under: uncultured beta proteobacterium
Lineage: Bacteria; Pseudomonadati; Pseudomonadota; Betaproteobacteria
Description: bacterial SSU rRNA
Rfam family: Bacterial small subunit ribosomal RNA
Source: RNAcentral